AUUGAACGCUGGCGGCAGGCCUAACACAUGCAAGUCGAGCGGAUGAAGGGAGCUUGCUCCUGGAUUCAGCGGCGGACGGGUGAGUAAUGCCUAGGAAUCUGCCUGGUAGUGGGGGAUAACGUCCGGAAACGGGCGCUAAUACCGCAUACGUCCUGAGGGAGAAAGUGGGGGAUCUUCGGACCUCACGCUAUCAGAUGAGCCUAGGUCGGAUUAGCUAGUUGGUGGGGUAAAGGCCUACCAAGGCGACGAUCCGUAACUGGUCUGAGAGGAUGAUCAGUCACACUGGAACUGAGACACGGUCCAGACUCCUACGGGAGGCAGCAGUGGGGAAUAUUGGACAAUGGGCGAAAGCCUGAUCCAGCCAUGCCGCGUGUGUGAAGAAGGUCUUCGGAUUGUAAAGCACUUUAAGUUGGGAGGAAGGGCAGUAAGUUAAUACCUUGCUGUUUGACGUACC
This 454-nucleotide ribosomal RNA is filed under the name Pseudomonas aeruginosa. RNAcentral describes it as "bacterial SSU rRNA". It matches the Rfam family "Bacterial small subunit ribosomal RNA", at positions 30 to 479 of the family's 1533-position model. The record is from RNAcentral. Lineage: Bacteria; Pseudomonadati; Pseudomonadota; Gammaproteobacteria; Pseudomonadales; Pseudomonadaceae.